Molecule: ribosomal RNA, 476 nt
Filed under: uncultured bacterium
Lineage: Bacteria
Description: bacterial SSU rRNA
Rfam family: Bacterial small subunit ribosomal RNA
Source: RNAcentral
AACGAACGCUGGCGGCAUGCCUAACACAUGCAAGUCGAACGAAGUCUUCGGACUUAGUGGCGCACGGGUGCGUAACGCGUGGGAAUCUGCCCUUGGGUGCGGAAUAACUUCUCGAAAGGGAUGCUAAUGCCGCAUAAUGUCGUAAGACCAAAGAUUUAUCGCCCAAGGAUGAGCCCGCGUAAGAUUAGCUAGUUGGAGGGGUAAAAGCCUACCAAGGCGACGAUCUUUAGCUGGUCUGAGAGGAUGAUCAGCCACACUGGGACUGAGACACGGCCCAGACUCCUACGGGAGGCAGCAGUGGGGAAUAUUGGACAAUGGGGGCAACCCUGAUCCAGCGAUGCCGCGUGUGUGAAGAAGGCCUGAGGGUUGUAAAGCACUUUAGUUGGGGAGGAAGAAUCUAGAUAUGAAUAAGAUUUAGAAGUGACGUUACCCAAAGAAUAAGCACCGGCUAACUCUGUGCCAGCAGCCGCGGUAAU